Molecule: non-coding RNA, 231 nt
Organism: Phoenix dactylifera (date palm)
Lineage: Eukaryota; Viridiplantae; Streptophyta; Magnoliopsida; Arecales; Arecaceae
Source: RefSeq, a predicted model, not a curated record
AUAUAAAAUAUGUAUAUAUAUAUUUGCUGCGAGAGGGGAUCGGAGGAGGGGGUCCGUGAAGCAUUGAGAGAGUGUAUACUUAAACGAAGCAGAAUUGAGGAAAGAUUCAUGUAGCUGAUCCCAAUUAGUUUAGGAUUAAAAUUUUAUGGAGUUGAAUUGUGUUGAAUGUAAUUUGCUUGUACUUUUUUUUUUCGGAAAAGGAAAAAAAAUAUCCUAAACAUUAUGGCUUUC